Molecule: RNA transcript, 1431 nt
Organism: Aethalodelphis obliquidens (Pacific white-sided dolphin)
Lineage: Eukaryota; Metazoa; Chordata; Mammalia; Artiodactyla; Delphinidae
Gene name: protein S100-A11 pseudogene
Exons: 1
Source: RefSeq, a predicted model, not a curated record
GGCAGAGUGUUCCAGACAUGAGAGUGGCACUUUAUGGAAUCACCAUGAAUAUUCAGCUGUCUCAGUACAAAAUUUUCUGAUUUGUGUAAAUUCUUUGGUCAAGGUACAUGGCCACCAGCCUCACAGAUGUGAAUGCCAUGUGACAAAGUAUCCAUGUACUAUAAACAGAUUUUAAAGUAGUUAUAUGCAUUAUAUUGCAAUAAGUUAAUCUUUAUAUGCAAUGGAAUUGAAAAGAUUUGUAUAGGAAGACUUGAAAGGUAAAGCCACUUCCAUGGAGUCUUGCAGAUUCUGAGAUGGCUUUUGCUGCUCUGUUCUUGCUAUAAAUUUUUCUACAGGACUCACAGGCAUUAGAAAUGCAGAUGUUGCUGUUUCACAAAAAGAGGAAGAUUUUUUCUUUGUUAAGCCACCAUCUUAUGAGCAAGAGCACACCCACGUUGGAACCUUAUGUUUUGCAAGAUUUAUCUCUUGAGAAAUGUACAAGUUAAUCUUUUGAACUGUUGUUUUUUCAUUGAUUCUUUAUCCUGGUGUUUAAUAAGCUUUUGUUUUUAUAAAAUUUAACUUGAAGGCAGUCUAUAGUAUUUCACUGAACCCUGAAUCCACUAACAGCAGUCACCCUGACAACCGUGAUCCUUAAACAGUGACUUGUCACCCUCACUAGAACCCAUAUGUAAAUUGCAUUGGCUGGUUUUUGUCACUAACCAUCAGUUAGGGUUCUAACAAUCAGUUUGACUUUCUAAUCACAGUGCUAGGAUAUAAGCUUCCAGUUAACUUGAAAUUUCUCCCUUGGGGAAACCAUGUUGCAAAUAGUCUUCCAAUACUGUUCCUCAGUAUGCUUGUGGAAUGCCUCCUCUUUUUUGGACUUAAUUUCAGUCAUUUAAAAACCAUGUGAGAAAAUCAUGGCUUGCCGCGCCGCUCCCCGCUCGCAGCCCCGUGCCUCGCUCCUCUCUGAACAUGGUAAAAAUAUCCAGCCCUACAGAGACUGAACGGUGCAUUGAGUUUCUGAUUGCUGUUUUCCAAAAGCAUGCUGGAAGAGACGGUAACAACAGCAAACUCUCCAAGGCCGAGUUCCUUAUCUUCAUGAAUACAGAGCUGGGUGCCUUCACAAAGAACCAGAAGGACCCUAGUGUCCUUGACUGCAUGAUGAAGAAACUGGACCUCGACUCUGAUGGGCAGCUAGAUUUCCAAGAAUUUCUUAAUCGCAUUGGCGGCCUGGCCGUAGCUUGCCAUGACUCCUUUAUUAAGUCUACCUCUUCCUAGAAGUAAAUCAGAGGAGCCUUUGGGCCUGGCCUGCAGCCCCACUCCCUUUCCUUCAGCCUCCCAAUUAUCAUCUACCCCUCACAGCCCACACAUACCCUGAGCCAGGCACACCCACCACCCCAUGCAGGCCACUUCUGCUGGUAGUAAUAAAACAAUAUGGUUUUUUAAAGCACA